GAUGAACGCUAGCGAUAGGCUUAACACAUGCAAGUCGAGGGGCAGCAUGGUCUUAGCUUGCUAAGACUGAUGGCGACCGGCGCACGGGUGCGUAACGCGUAUGCAACUUGCCUCACAGAGGUGGAUAACCCGUCGAAAGACGGACUAAUACCGCGUACACUUGGGAUAGGGCAUCCUGACCCAAGGAACUGAACUUCGCUGUGAGAUAGGCAUGCGUCCCAUUAGCUAGUUGGUGAGGUAACGGCUCACCAGGGCGACGAUGGGUAGGGGAACUGAGAGGUGGAACCCCCACACUGGUACUGAGACACGGACCAGACUCCUACGGGAGGCAGCAGUGAGGAAUAUUGGUCAAUGGGCGAGAGCCUGAACCAGCCAAGUCGCGUGAAGGAUGACUGUCUUAUGGAUUGUAAACUUCUUUUAGACGGGAAUAACAAGAGUCACGUGUGGCUCCCUGCAUGUACCGUAUGAAUAAGCAUCGGCUAACUCCGUG
RNAcentral lists this ribosomal RNA (490 nucleotides) under uncultured bacterium. RNAcentral describes it as "partial 16S ribosomal RNA". It matches the Rfam family "Bacterial small subunit ribosomal RNA", at positions 28 to 507 of the family's 1533-position model. The record is from RNAcentral.